UACGUAGGGGGCAAGCGUUGUCCGGAUUUAUUGGGCGUAAAGAGCUCGUAGGCGGUUCGGUAAGUCGGAUGUGAAAUCUCCAGGCUCAACCUGGAGGGGUCAUUCGAUACUGCCGUGACUAGAGUUCGGUAGGGGAGUGUGGAAUUCCUGGUGGAGCGGUGAAAUGCGCAGAUAUCAGGAGGAACACCCGUAGCGAAGGCGGCACUCUGGGCCGAUACUGACACUGAGGAGCGAAAGCGUGGGGAGCGAGCAGG
This 254-nucleotide ribosomal RNA is filed under the name uncultured bacterium. RNAcentral's name for it is "partial 16S ribosomal RNA". It matches the Rfam family "Bacterial small subunit ribosomal RNA", at positions 524 to 776 of the family's 1533-position model. The record is from RNAcentral.